This 24137-nucleotide long non-coding RNA is filed under the name Erythranthe guttata (spotted monkey flower). Its description in RNAcentral is "long non-coding RNA (EGUT_LNC000004)". Lineage: Eukaryota; Viridiplantae; Streptophyta; Magnoliopsida; Lamiales; Phrymaceae. The record is from RNAcentral.
AUGUUAUUUUAGCUCUCUCCGACAAAACGAAAACGAAAAGAUGUCGUAAAUUGUUUGUAGUUUUAAGGUAAAAUGUAGUUUUUUCUUUCUUCUUCUUCUUCGAAAGGAGCUGCUGCUAACAUGCAGGCCAUUAAGUUUAUUAACUUCUAUCGUAGCAUCGAACUCUAUCUACUACUGUAGGAAUGACGAUUUUGGCCCUCUUUUUUUUCGUUUAUAGAUUCUUAUUUGAUGUUUCUCUUGUAAAAGUAUUUAACCUUUGGCUUCUAUUUAAUUUGUACAAUAUUUAUUUUUCUAUAUGGUUUUAUUUUUCUUUUCUAGUGUGGUACAGAUGUACAAAUACAUCCAUGUGCGGUGAAUGUAAUGUUAUGAUGCUUAUAGAAGAAUAUUUUGUAUUAUGGUGCUUAAAAUAAAUAUUGAUAACUAAUGGUGCAUAUAAUAAUUAUAAUUGUAUGACGAACUAAAGCUAACACGAGCUCAAGAAGUUGUCGAAGAUCUCGACUUUUAACAUUUUCAACUAGAACAUGGUUCCUUGUACUCGAAUGCUGAAAUAUUUGUCAUUUUGGGUUGUUGCGCGAAAGCAAUAUAAUUUUAUUUGACUAAUAUAGUCUUAUCGUUAAUUAUUCUAUUAAUUAAUUAUCUUUCAACUAAUUAACACAUGAUACAGAGCAAAGUUACGAAAAUUGUAGUUGGUAGAGCAAGAGAGAGAUGCCAAAUGAAUCGAGUUUUUGAGUCUCUUUGUAAACACUUUCUUGGUCGUGUUUAGCACACAUAACUUGCGCCUAAUGUGAUUUAUAUCUCAGUGUGAUUUGUAAGCUAUUGCACGAGAGUGAAGAAUUUCGCAAUGCAUUUACAUGAUCGGUUCCUUAAUUAAAAAAAAAAAUUGAUUUUUGAGCUAGUUUUUCUAUAUCAUAUAGUUGAAAAUGAUAAUUCUAUUGUUUUAUUUUAUGAAUGCGUAUUACAUAUGUAUUAAUGUCAACGCAAUAUAUAUAUCCAAUCUUUUAUUUUAUCGUAAAUCAGCACCGAAUACAGUCAGUCAGUUAUUCAGAACUAUAAUAUCUAACGAUUCGAGUUCGAUUUUCUCUGUCAACACUUUUUAGGUCGAACUCGUCGCACAUGACUUGGCUAAAGCAAUUUACACAUCUCGUGUGAUUUGCGUAACCGCACGAGAGUAGAGUUUACCUAUCGCACGUCUACACGCAUACUCCACAAAAUUCAACCGAAAAACUCGUCUACACAAUCUUUAUUUGAAGAUCACAUGUUUAAGGUAAAGAAUAACAUUUUUGACAUAAAUUGACAUAAUUGUCUCUUUGUUUACAUUUGAAUGUUGUCAUCUUAUAUCAAAAGCUAUUCUAUUGGCCCCUCACUUUAUAUUUAAAUAAUAUUUAAUUGUUUGGUUCAAAUAAUUCCAAGAACAAGGAAUCUGAUUAUUUUAUAAACUAUUACCCUAAUCAAUACUUACCAGGUAAAUCACUCAAACUAACUACUCCACUAUGAAAAGAGGAUUAGUGAAAUAAGUGAAAUAAUAGUAAUAAAGGGCGGUCAGUUGACCAAAGUUCGAAUUUCUUUUUUAAUAUUUUCUAGGUCAAUCUAAUGUAAUUUAUAUUUAUGUGGUUUGCAAAUUAUUAUACUAUAAUCGAAUUUUUAUGGUGCACUUCGAGUGAAUGCGUGUUGGUUCUUUUAUAAUAACUAGCAUUUUUCUCCCAUGCGAUGCACGGGAUAUUAUUUAAAUAAUGAAAAAAAAUAAUAAUCAAUUUAAUACAUAAUAAGAAAAUAUAGUACACUAAUAUAGUAAAAUUUAAUAAUGUAAUAUUAUUCAUAUUUUAUAUAAAUGGACUAAGAUUUAACAAAUCGAAUUUCUAGCUUUAUCUCUUAAGAUUUGAGAUAUAUUGAUGAAACAUAGGAGAUUAAUAAUUGCUGAAAAUUAUAGUUAAAAAAUGAGUACAAAAAAAUAUUAAAAAUAAAUAAUUAUAUAAGUAGCAAUAAGGUAGGAUUCUUCACGGGUUAGUUUUAAUUUUGAUAAUUGUUAAAAAUUAUAGUUAGAAAUUAGUAGCAAAAAAAAUAAUUAAAAAUAAAUAAUUAUAAAAAUAUCAUUAGGAUUUUUAAGGGUUGCCUUUCUUUCUUUUAUAUAUAAGAUAAUAAUAAAUAAAUAAAUAAAUAAAAAGAAAAAUGUAUAUGUGUAUAUUAUUAUGUUAAAUUACAAAAACCACCUCCACCUAUUUGUAAUUAUAAAAAAAAACCUGAUGUUUGUUUCCAUCUUAUACCAACCAUUUACAGUGUGAUUUUUUGUCCUUUUUUUUUUUUUUUUGAUUUCAGGGGAUAUUUUCUUUUAUUUCUCACCUAUUUGACAAAAUAUAUAAUAGAUUGUAUACAUUUUCGGUUAAAAAAACUCGAUCCACAGUUAAUUAGAGUGGAAUUUUAGUUAUUAGAGAUAGGUUUAGGUAUUUUUCGUUAUUUAGCCUAAGUUAAGGGGUGUUUUUUUUAAUUUAGCCAUAUUAUUAUGAUGUUGGAUCGUCGCUUUCACGCGGACUUUGUAGUGAUCUUUGACAUCACACAGAUGACAGAAGCCCCCAAUUUCUUCUUAUUUCUAUCCCCAUAAAACAAACCACAAUUAAAUUGGUUAUUUUACAAGAAGCCCAGAUCACAAAAUCACUCAAAUUAUCAGAAAAAUUCAAUCUUUAUUGUUUUAAUUCAUCAGAAAUUAUGCAUUCGUCGCUGUAUUAUUCGGAGCAGGCGAACCUGCAAUUUCCGGAGCAAGAAUACCCGAAAUGCCCCCGGUGUGAUUCCGCCGACACCAAAUUCUGCUACUACAACAACUACAACCUCUCCCAACCGCGCUACCUAUGCAAGAGCUGCAAACGCUACUGGACCAAGGGCGGCGCGUUGAGGAACAUCCCCGUCGGCGGCGGUGGCGGAGGCUCUAGAAAGACCGCCGCGAAGCGCACCUCCUCCUCCUCCCCCGCCUCCCCCUCCGCCGCCAAACGCCCUGCUUCAGCAGCCGCGGCAGUAUCGGCAUCUAACGACACCAGUAACAGCAGCAGCAGCAACAACGGCGGCGGUGGUGGAAUGGGUGAAAAUUUGAUUUUUGGGGGGCAGUUUGGGAAUUUUAUGGAUGCAUGUGGGAGUUUCAAGGGAGAGUUUGGUAAUUUGCUUGAUGGGCUGGAUGACUCGAGUUUGCUGAUGAGUGGUGGUGAUCGUCGGCGGCAAUUUGGUGAUCCGGGUUCGGGUCGGAAUUCGGAUCCUCUAAACGGGUUGGAGAGUGGCGGCGAUGCUGAUGGAUUCUUGAACAUUCACGGCGGCGGCGGCGGUGGCUGGCCUGAUCUUUCUAUCCACACACCUGGGUCCACUUCUCAAUAAUAUGAAGCUGAUUAAAUUCACAAAAAUAAGAUUUUUAUUUUUUAUUUUUAUUUAUUAGUGGGGCUAUAUUAAUUAAUCUCGACUAUUAAGGAAUCUAAUUAUGAUUGUAUAAUUACGAUGAAUUUAAAUUAUAUUUUAUUAAUAUUAAUACUUUAGUACUUUACUAAAAGAACAAACAAUUUUGACACUAUGUGAUUUUUGAUUCUAUUUUAAUAUUGAAGCAUUGUUGGUUCUUUUUGUAUUGAAUGAAUAAAAAUAGUUUAAUAAGGUCGUUAUCUAAAUAUUUUAAAAGUUAAUUGUAAAAAUAAAAUAUAGGCGGCGGUUAUAUGCAAGCCCAUUUUUUUAUUAGUUCAAACCCACAUAAAGGAGUUUAUUAGUUCAAGCCCGUAAAUUAAUCUAAUUUUAUUACAUCCAGACCAAAGAGGACAAAUAUACCCUUAUUCACAAAUAAUACUCAAAUACAAAUAAAUCCUAUUUUUAAUUUGUUCAAGACCAAAAAAUAAAAACAAAAACAAAAAAACAAAAAGAAAAUAUCACGACUUUUGUUUGUAAAUUCGAAAACAUUAGUCGAGCAUCGAUCUUAAUAAAUAUGUAUGGAUGAACAUUAAUCUAUGCUUAUUUCUUGAUGGGUUGCAAUGCUUUGGCCGAUUUUGGAAAAAAAAAUUGAGAUUGAAAUUGGUUUUUUUUUUUUUUUUUCCGUUGGUUUCCCAAAUCGGUUUACCCAGACCGAUUUUGUACAUGAAAAUCGGCGUCACAAUGCCGAUUUUUAUUAACCAAAUCGGCGACACAACGUCGACUUUACAAGUUGAAAUCGGCGUUCUAAUGUCGAUUAUUGAGUACAAAAUCGGUUUUCGGAUACCGAUAUUUUUCGGAUUUUUUUAAUAAUAUUGUAUAUUUGGUUAAUUGAUAUUUUUUAAAUAUUUGAAACGAAAAUGUUUAUCACCAUUCGGUGAUAUCUACGAACUACUUUAACCCAAUCGAGUAGAGCUUUCCGUGUCUCAAAUAUUUAUUCGUUGGAUAAUUCAUUUGAAUAAUUUUCCAUCAAUCCCUUAGGUUGCUACACGAAAGUAUGGGAAAACGGUCUUAGAAAAACACAGAUAAUAAAAUCGGUACUUAAAAACCGAUUUUUGUAGUAUAAGUCGGCAUGCCAAUACCGAUAAUACAAAAACAAAUCGGUGUUGUCAUGCCGAUUUGUACUACAAAAAUCGGUUUUUAAGUACCGAUUUUCUAUUAAAAAAUCGGAAUGUGGUUACCGACUUUAGUAACAAAAAUCGGUAUUUGCAGACCGAUUUUUGGUAUCGUCGAAUUUUUUUCCCAAAAAAAAUAUCGACCCAAAAGCAAAAAUAAACGGUUAAAACAUAUUUCAUUGUGUUCUCCACCCUUGUAAACCACCAUAUCAUUGUUUCCUGGUUCCAUCGUGAAUGUUUGGUAUGUAUAUGAUAAUUUUGGUGUGUAGAAUCUCUUGGUGGGUUUGUGAAAAAUAAGGAGGAUGAGAUUUUUAAGUCGUGAAAUAAUGAAGAGGUGUUCAUAGAUUUAUGUAUUUUAUUUGGUCUUGCAUAAAUGAAAUGAUUUUUUUUUUUUUUUUUGAAUAUUUUGUGUUUUUUAUUUGAUUUUAAAAUUUAUUAAGGGUAAAUUAGUAUUUUUAUGUUGAAAGUCUUGAACUAAUAAAAAAAUGGGCUUGCAUAUAACCGUCGUCUAAAAUAUAACAGUUUUUAUAUUUUAAUACAACUUAUUAGAUGUAAGGGUUUAUUAUUUAAAAUAAGUUUAGCCAAAUGAGUAUUGUAAGAGUGUAAAUCGGACGGAUCGGAUCGGAAUUAGCCUUUUCGGAAAAAUUCUGAUUUUCUUUUUGAAGAGGAAACCUAGUUUCAAUUUCGUUCCGAAAAAAAUCGGAAUGAAAAAUUGGAAAAAUUCGGAUCGAAAUCGGCGGAAUUCAGAAUUUUUCAAUAUUUGCUCACCUUAAGUAAAAAUCAGAAUUAUUUUCGAACUUUAAUCGAAUCGAAAAUCGGAAUCCUCAUAUAUAUUCCAAUAACGAUCCAAAUAGUUUAGAAAAAAAUAGAAGUCAAUUAUUCCAAAAUCAAAAAAAUUCGAAUCAAAAUCGACGAAAAUCGAAAUUUUCGUUUCAAUUUCAAUGUGGGCCAAUAAGUUAUAAGUCCCAUAGCCCAUGGUAUUUCAAUGUGCCACAAAAUUACUCCUCUUUGGACUAUUUGGAGUUCAAAUUAUAUUGGGCCAAACAUAAUAUUUCGUAUCAUAUUCUUUAAAAGUGUAAUAUUCAUAAAUAAUUCAACUUUAUUUCAAUCUUACAAAAAGAAAUUGUGUUUAUUUUUACCUCUCCCAAUUAUUCGUUGCUAUUCGAAUUUUUGUUCUUCAUAUUGUUUGUCACCUUAAAAUUCCAAUGACGCAUUAAACACAAAUUUUCUCCAUCUGUUAUACUAAACCUCAAAUACUAUUCAAUUAUUCCCCCUUAAACGAUAAAAGUUAUUUUAGUUUUUGUUAUAUCUGUUCUAAGAUUAAAGUCGUAUGCCGAAUAACUUUUCUAAUACGUAUAUAACACGUUAAUCGGAGGGAAUAUUGUUCAAUUAUUUUUUAGGCUUUAUCAAAAUAUUCAUGUAUAUACUCAUUAAGCACAAAACACCUACAUAAUUUCAUAAUUGUAGGAUAAAACUCAAAUUAAUAAUUAAAAAAGAAAAUUGAGAUAAACAAUUAAAGAAAAAUAGAAAUAUGAAGGGGCCCCACAAGAUAAGGUUUAGUAGAUAUUGGGUAAUGAUGAACAAUAAUGCAAUGAAAAAGUAGUAGGCCAUGGGAGCUCGUGGGGAAGAAACUUACCCACAUCUUAUAUAAUAAAUAUAAAAUAUAUCUUAUGAUUUUGUUCCAACUAUUUAGGGGAAAGACCUAAUUUUGCAUUUCCUCUUUUUGGACCACCAAAAAUUUGCCCAUGUGGAUAUAUAGUAAAAGAGGGAAUUUUUAACAAUAUAUAUAUAUAUAUAUAUAUAUAUAUAUAUAUAUAUAUAUAUAUAUAUAUAUAUAUAUAUAUAUAUAUAUAUAUAUAUAUACAGUGAGAUAUAGAUAUAUAUAGUAUCUAUAUAUAUAGAGUACAUAUAUAUAUAUAUAUAUAUAUAUAUAUAUAUCUAUAGAUAUCUAUAUAUAGAUAUAUAUAUAUAUACGUAUAUAUAUAUAUAUAUAUAUAAAUAAAUAUGUAUAUAUAAAUAUAUAAAUAUAUAUAUAUAUAUNNNNNNNNNNNNNNNNNNNNNNNNNNNNNNNNNNNNNNNNNNNNNNNNNNNNNNNNNNNNNNNNNNNNNNNNNNNNNNNNNNNNNNNNNNNNNNNNNNNNAUUAAUCAAAUUCAAUUUUUCUCGCUCUAUCUCAGAGUAUCCAUUCACCCGAAAUUCAUGUGCUUCCAUUUCCAUUUUCCGUAAGCUGGCCCGAGCUUUUUCCAGCUGUUACGUUCAAUGGCCUUGUAUUCAAGAUCCUCUGUUUUCGAUUAUCUAAGUAGAUUAUCUUUCCGUUCAUUUUAAAACUUCCAUUAUCCCUUCCCAAACCAAACAUGAAUCUGUCGAUUCAUUUGACUCUCAUGCUCAAUUACUUCGGGUAAAUUCUCAUAGUUUUUUUUUUAUUAAUGUAAUGAGCCUAUCUUCUCUUCUUUAUUUUUUUUCAUAGCAUAGUCAAAAAGAAAAAAAAAAAACGAACACUUGGUGGAGCUUGUUGCACAUGGUUAACCUAGUGUGGUUUGUGUCUCUCGUACAGUAUACAAAUUAUAAUAGAAGACUUUAGAUUUUACCUGGUGCACCUAUAGAGUAGGCUUGGGAUUCGUUGAUUAAAAAAAGAGGGAUCCAUGUUAGAAAUUUAUCGUACAUACAUACGAAUUCCCAAGAACCAACAUGCUUGAAUCAACGAGAAUUAAACACAAACAUAAACACGGAAGCGUACCUUACACAAUUGAAUCGAAUCUUCGAAUCUCCACUGGAUUUGGGAUAGGCCUUCCAAAGAAUCCGCAGUUCCUUAUUUGUCUCUCUAACGAUGGAUUUUAGAAGAGACGGAAUGAUUGCGUUUCUUUGGGGACCACGACCCUUUAUAUAACUGUAGAGUCCAGUUAUAUUAUAAUUGUGAUUCAGCCCCAUCAAUAAAUCACAAUUAAACCCUAAUUGUCUCUACACAUUAGGCCCAUAAUUAUAGUCUAAUACCCAUAAGUCCAACCCAAUAAUCUUUAUUAGAUCACAAUUAAUUUGGACUUUCUUUUAGAUAGCCAUACACAUUUACGUUACAUAUGUGAGCCCACAUAAUUAUUGAAAUAAUUCCAACAAUCUCCCACUUGGGCCACAUAUGCUAUAUAUCUUAUAAAUGUGUACACCUUAUGAGCUCAAAUAUUGCUAUCAUAUAAAAAGGUAUUCCUUACAAUCUCGUCCAUUGACCAUACUGAUAUAGGACUAAAGAGGCUUUCGUCACAUUGAGCGUGUCUAAACCCAACAGUAAUCACGUAAACCAAUAUAGCCAAACGACAUAGAUCAAAUCAUGGUGUGUAGCAUGGAAAUUACAUAUAAUGUGAUCUUAACAUGCCUAUUUCCAACUGGUCCUACUUUAAACUUUAUUGAGACCAAACAUUUACAUAAUUAUACAAAGUGUAGCCAAAUACUUUAUUUCUGCAGAAAACCAAAUACACAAAAUUGUGUCCAAACAUAUCAUAGAGCUACCAAAAUGUAUUUAUAUGUACACAUACACACAAACUCCCACUGACCCAAAAUAUUCUUAAAUGAUAUAACACCUACAUGAGCAAUGCUCAUGAAUACCUUAUGUGUUAAUCCUUUAGUAAGCGGAUCCGCAAUUGUGGAGUUUAUCUUAAUAUGCUCUAUGUACUGUUCACUUUGUACCUUUAACAACAAAGAACUUUUCACAAGCUCUUGUUGUUGUUCGAAAGUAUAGCUGUUAAAUAUUGUCACCGUAUAACUUUAAUACAAAUCAACAUGUGCAGCCUAAUGACAAGUGUUUAUAGCUAUAUUAAAAAUAAGAUGCCAAAAAAUUACCAUAAAUUCUUAACCAUCGUGAAAAGAGCUUAAAGUGUUUGCUUAACACCCAUGUCGAAAUAGCUCAAUCACUUAGGUCUACAUUAACCAAAAUGGAUCUAUACUUUAUACGCAUCAUAAAAAAAAUCAAAAUCAUGAAUAAACCACACGAUCUCCCAAAAUAUAUGAUUUUGAUAAAUGAGCAUAUGUAUAUAAAUUACAUUCCCUAUAAUUACUGUAUAACCCAUUUGGCUGCUUUGCUAAAUGAUCCACUUUAUAGGGUUAUUCAUAUAUCUGCCUAACUUUAUGCACACCUUAACCAAAUGCGUACAUUCUUUUAUUUAAAAAUAUUUAUUGGGCAUUGAAAUGAGACUAAACAAGCCUCAUUUAUUGUGAGAUUAUCUCCCACUGAUCCUUGGGUAUGUACAAUCAUUAACUUUAUUUAUCUCAAAGUACAUAUGAGAUAAUUAUAAGCUUAGGAUUGUAACAUCAUUAACGGGAAUUUUAAUUUCCUUAAUGGACUACUUUAGUUUGCAAUCAAUAUCCUUCAAAUCUUUAAAAUUUUAUGGUUGCACUUUAUUGUUCCAAAAAUAUUACUAUUUGAGAAACAUAUUCCUUGUGUCCAUAAAUCUCUUAAAUAGAGUCGAUAGGAGUGAAAUAUUUAAUGACUAAACGUACCAUAUAUCUUUCAAUAUUGCCCAUUUGAAUUACAUUUGGUCUCAAUUAUUUGUAACCAAAGAAAUUCACAGCUUAUGGCUUUUCGAUAAGAUCCUAAUGUCUUGUCAUUCUAAAUUUCAACUCAUCUUUUAAUGCCUUAUCCUCUUAAGGUUGUUGAGUUUGCUCUCAAGUGACUAUUACCAAAGCUUGAUUGGGAAUUGUUCACCAUUGUCUUAUCAAACUCUAAAUCUACUUUUCAACAAUGACUAGUAUAAAAAACAUGUACAUUGUCAAAAGAAGUAUUAGGAAUCGAAUUGAUUCCUCUUUAAAGACAAUGUCUAUAAUCUAAAUUUCUCCCCUCAAACUCAACAUCCUUAAAAGAUUUUAAAUUUCCCGUUUUUAAAAAUAAUAUAUUGCAGCACUUAUGUUUCUCCUAAAUAUACCUUAGUGAAGAAGAAUGACUUAUCAUACUUCUUUGAAUGUCCUUGAAUGUUCUAUUCUUAAAUUUUGUACCAUUUAAAUUGCUUAUGCAAGAUUUUAACGUAAGAGACUUUUACUUAAAUUAUAGGUUAAAUUUUGAAUUAUGAAAUAGGCCAAGCCUAAUGUUUUCAAAUGAACAAGCUAACCGAAUUUGUUCAAGAGAAAAUCUAAAUCCAUCUAAUGAUGGUACCAAAUUCUAUUUCAAAUUCAAAGGAAAACCUAAGAGUCCUUAUAGCCUCAAUCCCAAAUAUCUUACAUAACCUUUAUAGAUGUAUCUUUCAACAUCAAUUGAAAAUUGGUUAUGUAACUAACCCUUAUAUACACACUUACGUGAAUAGUGUAACCCAGGAUCUAUUCACUAAACGUGUCUAGGUACAAAGUCAAGAUAUAUUUUAGAACAAAUUAAAGUGAGAAACAAACAUAAUUACGUUUUUCAACGUACCUGAGAUGUAAACUGCAGUUAUAGAUAUUUAUCUUAAGAUGUACUAGUCAAAUUAGCACUUAGUCUUUUCUCCCUUAAUUAUUUAUUCUUCGUGUGAACGGUCAAAGUUUUAUUAUUUAUGUUUUACAACAAACCUUAUAUUGACCAUUCACGUAGAAAAAUAAAUUAAACCAUAUUCACUUUCAAGUCAGCGAAACCACACUAACUGAAGUGCUAUAACUCAAAAUGAGAUUAGACUAUUACUUAAUAUGCUUACUUAUGUUCCUUUUCUUUAUACCUUAUUUAAACAAUAGAUAUCAAAAUCUAAUUUGUUGCAACUUUAUCGUUUUAAAAUAAAACGUAUCCUUACUAUCUUUAAGGAACCUUCUAGUACGUAGCCCCAAAUUAAACCUUAUGCCCCCAAAAAAUUAUUUAAAAUGGAUGCACCUAAUGAUCUUAAAUUUUAUAAAUAGAACGACGAUAUACUCUAGGUUCUUCUAUUGUUCUAUCCAAAAACAAAUUCAAGAUCUAUGCACCAUAAUAGGUAAUAAUAAAAAUAUUUGUGCAAUUAAGCACAAAGUGUUAUAGGCAGAUAAUGUGUAAGCAUAUAAAUAAAUUAAAUAGAGAACGUAAAUAAAACCAAUAUACUCACAUUAUAAUCCAAAUGUGACUUUUCAAUUUUAAAUAAUUAUGGAGUACAUCUCAAGAUGCCUAGCACAACAUUAAUAUCAUGUCUUUGGACAAUAAUAUUAACUGUAAGUGGCACUCUCGUUGUAGUAAUCAAGUGCUGACGAUAAAUCCUGUCAAAUAAUGAGCCCAUCUUUGGAUGUCACUUAUUAUUCACAUGGAAACUUAACAAUUGUCACGCACUUAUUACCACAGUUGCAUAUGUGGUUCGGCCAAAUAUCAACCUACCUUUGGGUAUAAUUAAAUAUUCGCAUGAAUUCACAUAUACAUAACAUCUUAACAUUCUCAAUAAGCUAAUCUCCACAGAGAGGUCACUUUGGUGGCUUCAUGCUUCAAUCAGUUAUCUUAAAAGUCAGACAACUUAAUAACAAGUCAUUAGAUGUACCCAAAAAAUUAUUUAGAAAUUUAAAGUCGUUGUUGAACGCCAAGGCUCUAAUGACAUCACCUAAGCGCUAACAGGCUGUAUCCAACACUAAGGUUGCCUCACUGUAUUGUUUUCGAAUCAAAUUCAGCAAUAUGGUUAUUCAUAAAAAUGAGUAUGAAUUGAAAACAUCGAAUCCAUCUUUAUUUUGAAUGUGAGCUAAAGAUGGUGUGGGGCUCACAAUUCAAUCUUAUUUAGAUUUAGUGGCCAAAAUAAUUUUUUAACCAAUAAACCUAACCUUAUAUGGAUUGAACUAAAUUAAUAAACUUAAUUAGACUUAAAUAAAAGACUUGAGUCAAAUAUCGAAAAAGUCAAUCCUUAUUUGGUUAAAAAUAACCACUAUCUAUAUUUUGACUUAAUUACGAUGAAAUGACAAUGGAUCAGAAGCUAAUUAAAAAUUAAUUUGUAUCCUUAAUUUUGACCCAUUACUCAAAAAUUUAGUCUAAACGGCAUAAACUUUAUCAUCUGAAAAUUCCCCAAAUUAGCCUUAGAAAACCGAAUUUGAAAUUCAAAAUGAAUUUCACUUUAUUGACCAAACAAAAACUUAAAUGAGUUUAAAAUAAUUCACAUAUUAGUUUGGUCCCUCAAAAUAAUUGAAAUAUUUAAACGGCCCCAAAACCUUAAAUUAACCAUUUUAUUCCUUAAAAAAUUGCACUUGCCCCAAAACCAGAAAAUCUUUCAACUUAAAGGACUGAAUUGAAAUUUCGAAAGAAAAAACCUUUGAGAGAAAAGGGACCUAAGAUUCAGAAAUACUUGAUUUGAGAUUUAUAAUAUAUUUUCGAAAAAUAUGACUGUUUUGAGAGAAACUUUAAAAGCGGGGACUGAAAUGCAGUUUUCAGAAACAUUGAGGGCCCCGAAACAGAUUUUUUUUUUUUUUUUUAUUCUUUCAAAUUGACCCCGGCCCAAAAUCAGGCAUAACCAAGAUACGGGCCAAAUCGAAAUAUUGCUAAAUAUCUUAAACUUAAAUUAGGGAACUGAAUUGCAAUUUUCCGAAACUUAAUUAAUCCUUCUACCCUAAUCUGCCAAUCCCGCCGCCACCACCAUGCCUCAACGCUGAUCAUUGGCUGGCCAGAAAAAUGGCCCCGCCGCGAACGACUAUGGGACCACCAUCCUAAUCGGCCGUACACCACCGCCGGAUACGCAUAACUCACAAGCACCCACGCCACCGAAAUCCACCGUCGGCGCCCCGGCUGCCCCUUCUGCGAAUUAUGCCGCCGUGGCGAGACCGAAGCUCCAUCGCCGCCCGAAACUUUACGACGAAGAAAGCCAUAGGGCCGCCGUCGUCUCAGGUUUGAAACUCUAUGGCGAUGGAGGGUUUUCUUUAUUCCAUAUUCAGAUUCAAGUAACAAAAUUAAACCAAAUGGGAUCUGAAGUCUGAACAUUAAUUGGUGGCAUAGAUUGGAAUUGUGGUCGACAUAAACAGAUGACCGUCGCCCCUAAUUUCACCUUAGAUUUGGAAUUUUCAAAUAUUAACCUUAAAACCUUAAUCCGAAUUUUCAAAUUCAGGGGACCUAAUUUCGGAUUUAAUAUCCGACCGGAAUUUUCAUAAUUAAAUUGACAAAAAAAUAGGUUUCAUAUAAUACUAAAUUCUAGAUCAGCAUAAAGCCCAAUUUUCAGAAAUAUGAAUCCAUGGAAAAAAUAUAUAUAUCACAUAAUACCGAAUUGAAUACUAAUCUUAAAGAGAAUUCCAAUUCAUAUAUGCAGAUUAUUGACCGUAAUUCUUAAAAUAUCAAAUCCGUGAACAUAGAUUUUAUUACGCUGCAACAUAUAUAAUUUAACCCAUGGAAAAUUCUCAAUGAUCCAAAACAUGGUGGCUCUGAUACCACUUGUUAGAAAUUUAUCGUACAUACAUACGAAUUCCCAAGAACCAACAUGCUUGAAUCAACGAGAAUUAAACACAAACAUAAACACGGAAGCGUACCUUACACAAUUGAAUCGAAUCUUCGAAUCUCCACUGGAUUUGGGAUAGGCCUUCCAAAGAAUCCGCAGUUCCUUAUUUGUCUCUCUAACGAUGGAUUUUAGAAGAGACGGAAUGAUUGCGUUUCUUUGGGGACCACGACCCUUUAUAUAACUGUAGAGUCCAGUUAUAUUAUAAUUGUGAUUCAGCCCCAUCAAUAAAUCACAAUUAAACCCUAAUUGUCUCUACACAUUAGGCCCAUAAUUAUAGUCUAAUACCCAUAAGUCCAACCCAAUAAUCUUUAUUAGAUCACAAUUAAUUUGGACUUUCUUUUAGAUAGCCAUACACAUUUACGUUACAUAUGUGAGCCCACAUAAUUAUUGAAAUAAUUCCAACAAUCCAUUCAUUUCAUUUAUUAGAAUUCUCAUGGAUAAAAUAAAUAAAUAAAACUAUUUUUUGCAUUCAAUUAAAACAUUCCGCAGUAUAUUUAUCUCCUGGAUUCCAAAGGGAGAUUUAUUUAUUUUAAAACCGAUAUUUAUUUAAAUAGGGAGCAUUGGACAACCAAAAUAUGGCCCAUGGUUUUAGGAACAAAUAAAGCCAUAUAGCUUCAUUAAAUAAUCAACUACUAACAACUAUACCCCACUAGGCCCAAUGACAAUGAAAUUAUUAUUAUUAUUAUUAUUAUUAUUAUUAUUAUUAUUAUUAUUAUUAUUAUUAUUAUUAUUAUUAUUAUUAUUAUUAUUAUUAUUAUUAUUAUUUAUUUUCUUAUUUUAUGUUUCUUUCUGGGAUAAUAAAUGAAAUUAGGACUUCUUUUACAUCUCCCAAUCCCCAUUAAUUUUAAAAAUCUACAAAAAAAUCACUCUUUUCGUUUCGAAUCAAUUCAUUUCAGUUUAAGUAACCGUCAAUUUUAAGAAUUAUUUGUGUUUCAUAUCAUCCGUCACUUUUGAAAUACAAAUAUUACAUUGAUUACCACUUUUUUUUUAAUUGACAUGCACUAAAAAAAUUCAAAACCCCUAAUUUGUCUCUUCAAAAAAUUGAUUUAUUUAUUAACUUGACUUCUUAAUUAGUGAAUAGAAAAUUAGUACUAUGAUCGUACCUAAUUAAUCAAAUUGCGUACCUAAUCAGCACGUUUAAUCUCGUCUUGUUCGGUAAUCUCAAAUUUUGUCGCACUUAAUGACAAAAACCAGAUCGUGUCACGUACAAGCAAUUAAACAAUUUAAUUAAAAAAAUAAAAUAUUAAUUUAUUCAAAAGCCCCUCGAUUUCAUAAAAUUAUAAUUCCGGAUGUUCGAAAGCAGCAGCGUACUAACGCCGAGCGACCGUUAAAUCAGGCUAACUGUGUGGCGUCGUUGGCUUGCAGACGGAAAACGUUUGCAUGGGAGCUAAUUUACAAGAAUGCCAUUGUCUUCUUAUUUAUCUUUAGCUAGUGGUGGAAAUCAACAAAUAUUAGAUCAUAAUUAAAAUUUUCAUUAAAAAAAUCCAAAUGAAGUGAAAAAUUAGUUACAAAUAAAUUGAUGAUCAGAAUUUCGAAAACUAGAAUGAAAAACUUGUUCCAUAAUUGAAUUUUUUUUAAUUGAAAAUGGCGGAAUCGGAAGUCUUAAAUUUUUUAUUCGCCUGUACAUAAUUCAAAAAUUAUUUUCCAAAUUUCACCCCUAUAUUGUUUUUAGUCUAAACAAUCUACCAAUUAUUUUUUAUACAUAUAUAAAAACAUUAGUUUUUUUUUUUUUUUUGUAAAAUAAUUUAAAUGAAAUAUUAAUUAUAAAGUCAUAGAAUGCAUAAAAGAUGGGGACAAAAUAAAUAUAUGUGCAGGUGCAUAGAAGAUAGGGCUGUCACCUUAAAUUUAUACAGUGUUAGUGGUUUGAUUUGAAUACCUGCCCAUAUUGUUGUUGCCUUCAUUAAAUGCCCAUUUUCAUAUUUAUUAUUUAUUUUUUAUUAUUAACAUAAAUAUAUAGGGCAUUAUGGGUAAAUAUUUCCCAUUCACUCUUUAAAUCCUUUUAUUUUAUCAUUUAUGUCAAUUUGGCUCUUCAACUUUACAAGAUUGACAUUUUUGUACUUCAUCUUUGUAUAGGAACUGUUUAUUUUUUAAAAUAUUUUUGGUCCAUAUUAUUUGUUACUCUAUAUUUUUUGUACUGCCUUAUUCAUUUUUUUUAUUAUCCUAAGUUUUAACCUUAACAAUUAAACUCAAGUAUCUUAUCACAUCGGUAAAUGAUCAGGGUUAUUUCAGUUUUUUUAAUGUAUUUUCUUUUCUCUCCAUAAAUUAAGAUAGGUUUAUUGGCAUUUUUAAUACUUAUACAAAACUAAAAACAAUAAUUAAUUAGAAACACAUAGAGUAUGUUUUGUGAAAAAGAAAUAUAUUUUGGAGAAAUCAAAACAAUACUAAAACAUUGUCUUUUCUAAUUUAAUUCCACAAAUCUUAUUAAAGACCAAACAUACUGAAAUUCAUGACAGCAUUCCCACAGAGAUGUAAUAAUAAGUUGCAACUUCCCUAAAAAGACAAGAUUAAAUAAUUAAUGCCAAAAAGUAAGUGUGGUAGGGACACUAAUUAUUAAUGCAAAAAAUUAAUUCGGAUUAACUUAUAAUAAUUCCAUUAAUUUUCAAUUGACUAGCUAAUUACUUGGUUAGUAAAAUCUUCAACUCAUUGUUUUAGAUCAUCAAUUUUAAAACAGUUAAAAUUUGGUAUCAAAUGUGAUAUUUGUAAAAAGAAUGCGAGGCUCUCGUUCUCUGGUCUCACGAGUAUUUGAUGGAACAAUGUAAAUUACGGUGACGCAAUAGCUCGUUAGGGUAGCGAACAUUGUUCUGGUGUCGAUUAUUGGAGUUGAAAUUUCUACACUGCGACUUCCAAUACUCGAUCUGAGGAUAUUACACUAAUUUACCACCCUGUAACCAGUUGAGCUAUACAUAUACCGGCUGUAUAAUUUUUCAAGUAUUUACUAAUUUUGACUUUCCUCGGAGAAAACAAGGAUUUAAAGAGGACUGUAAUAGUUAAGUAAAUGCAGGGGGAAGUAAAUUAACCUUAAUUAAAUGAGAAAGAAAAACCAUGAAGACGACCUUGUCUGUAAAAAUUCAGAGAGAGAGAGAGACACAGAACUGAAACCAAUUUACACCCCAUUUCUCUCUCCACAAAUGUAAGUCCAUUUUUUUGCUCUUACUUCCACACACACACACACACACACUCACCACACUGUUCUUUUUUUCAAGAAUCACCAUAACCAUAAAGAAGUGAUUUUUUUUUUCUUACAUAAUUUUGAUCUGGGUUUUUUUUCCUUUCUUCUGUGAUGUCAAUCCCAUAUCUCAUAAGCAUGUGACAUCUCUUUCACACACACACACACACACACACACACACACACACACACACACACACAGAGAAACAGUGAGCCCCCUUGUAAAAAAAGUGCUUAUCUUUAUUUCUUGGGUGUCAUCUUCUUGUUAUGAUUGUCAUUGUUGUUUAGCUGUUCUGAUGUGAAACAAGGGACCAAAAAAAGACACAAAGACAGCAAAAAUAAAACCCCCCAUUACUCUUUCCCAAUCUUACUUGCAUUUUUUUUUUCUUUCUGAGUACACAUAUUUGCAGUGGAUUAGUGUGUGUGUGUGUGUGUGUGUGUGUGUGUGUGUGUGUGUGUGUGUGCUGAUUGGGUUGUUUGGGGGUUUUCUAUUUUUGGUAAAGAUUUUGACUUUGUGAAGAAACUUCAACUCUAGCUUCAUCUCAAUGAUUUUCUUGAUCAGUUCUUGAUUUUCUUUAGUGUGGGAAAAAAAAUAGAAAACCAAUCUUGAUUUUAGGAAGGAAUCUCAAUUCCACUUUUCCCAGCAUUCCAAUUAUUGGAAUUACCAACCAAAAAAACAAAAAGGGCAGAGAGAGAGAGAGAGAGAGAUAUGAUUUUGGAUCUGUUAAAAAGAAGAUAGAAAGCUAGUGCUUGAAGAGGAGAGUGGGUAUUUUAUUCAUUUUUUUAUUUAUUUUAUUUUUAUUUUUACUUUUGCUUUUCGAGGGAAGAUAUAAUGAGUAGAGAAUCGAAGAAAAUGGUAAAACCGGACAAGGGUUGUGAUGGAGCUGAGAAGGUUGUUGUGGCUGUUAAGGCAGCAAAGGAGAUUCCUAAGACUGCUUUGAUUUGGGCACUAACUCAUGUCGUCCAGCCUGGCGAUUGCAUUACCCUUCUCGUGGUCGUCUCUUCACACACCUCCGGUAAGCUUCGUUUCUUAGCCGUUUGUUCGAACUUUCAUCGAGCUUUCGUACUUGUGUUUUAGUUUAGUGUGGUAAACAAUCAAAACAGAGCUUUAUUUCAGCCUAGUUUCAUAGCUUAUCGAACGAACAAUCUUGAAUCGAGUAUCGAGUAAAUUUUGUUUAUUUUUUUAUUCAGGUAGAAAAUUUUGGGGAUUUCCGAGAUUUGCGGGAGAUUGUGCAAGCGGACAUAGGAGGUCACAAUCUGGUACGAGUGCGGAUCAGAAAUUCGACAUAACAGAUUAUUGCUCUCAGAUGAUUCUUCAGCUUCACGAGGUUUACGAUCCUAAUAAAGUGAGUACAUACAUACAUACAUACAUACAUUCUUGUUAAAAUUUUAGACUCAACACAAAAAAAUGCCGAUCUUACGGUUUUUUCGUAAUAUUUUUCAGAUCAACGUGAAGAUAAAAAUCGUGUCGGGGACCCCACCUGGAUCCGUUGCUGCCGAGGCGAAGAAAAAUCGAGCCAGUUGGGUCGUUUUGGACAAGUAAUUAUCUCGUUUGUUUGUCACUAAAUUAAAAUUACUCUGAGAUGGAGGCCUAAUUGUAUAUUUAAAAAAUAUCAUGCAGACAUCUUAAACCCGAGGAAAAGCGGUGCAUGGAAGAGCUGCAAUGCAACGUCGUCGUUAUGAAGCGCUCUCAACCUAAAGUUCUCCGAUUAAAUUUAGUUGGGUCGCCCAAAACCGAACCGGAUUCGACGAAUUCCGAUAAUAAUAAUAAAAAUAAUGAUCAGACGAAAAAACAAGAACUCGGAAAAGCUGAUAGUUCUUCGAAUCCAUCAUCAACGCGGGCCCCACUAGUGACCCCGUCGAGCAGCCCCGAGGCAUUCACCGCAACAGAAGCCGGAACCUCGUCUGUCUCGAGCUCCGAUCCCGGAACUUCACCUUUCUUCAUCACACAAGCAACAAAUACUAAUAGCAACAACGUUUUCAAGAAAGCCGAAAAUUUAGCGACGAAAUUACAAAAUCGAGGCAUUGACCAUCAUCACGAAGAAUCCAGUUCCGACAGUGACACGGAAACGAACUUGUCGUCUCUCUCUUCGAGCUUUAGAUCUAAUCUUGAUUUCACGGGCGAUUUGAGAGAGGCAAUUUCUCUCUCUAGAGCAGGGGGGCCACCGCCGCUGGGUCCACCUCCUUUGUGCUCGAUAUGCCAGCACAAAGCGCCCGUGUUUGGGAAGCCGCCUAGGUGGUUCGCUUACGCUGAGCUGGCGCUAGCGACGGAUGGGUUUUCAGAGGCAAACUUUUUGGCCGAGGGCGGGUUCGGUUGUGUGCACCGUGGGGCCCUCCCGGACGGGCGGGCGAUUGCCGUGAAGCAGCACAAGCUAGCGAGCUCGCAAGGCGAUCGGGAAUUUUGCUCGGAAGUCGAGGUUUUGAGCUGCGCUCAGCACCGUAAUGUUGUUAUGUUGAUCGGUUUUUGCAUCGAGGAUGGUAGGAGGUUGUUGGUGUAUGAGUACAUAUGCAACGGAAGUCUCGAUUCACAUCUCUACGGUAUGAUCAAGCUGCGGCCCCCCACAGCUCCAUUCCGUAAUAACUGUCAUUUAAAUCUUUUUUGCGCACGUGUUGAGAAAGUUUUUAAAUAUGGUCGAAUUUUUGGGGAAAAAAUGCGUUAAAAAGACUGAAAUAGCCUUUACUAUUUAAUGAGGUUAUAAGAGAGAGAAUCUUUAAUAGAGCUCGGUUAAUAAGGGUAAACCAGUAAAAAGAAAUGCAUUUGAAUUUUGGAUCAUUAUUGGAACUCUAGAAUGACAGAUAAUAUGGAGCAAAAUAGAUUCUCUAAUGGUUCAUCUUAUAAUUUACAGGGCGAAAUCCGGAUAUACUAUAUUGGGGGGCAAGGCAAAAAAUAGCGGUUGGGUCGGCACGAGGAUUGAGGUAUCUUCACGAAGAAUGCAGAGUCGGUUGCAUUGUGCAUCGAGACAUGCGCCCCAACAACAUUCUCAUCACCCACGAUUUCGAACCCUUGGUACAAAUUAAUCAUCUACAUUAUAUUUUUCAAAUAUUAAAAGAGUCAAUACUAUAUAUGUUUUUCUUUAUGAUAAUAAUUGCUUUAUUUGUUUCUUUUUUGUUUUGGCAAGGUGGGAGACUUUGGUCUAGCUCGGUGGCAACCCGAUGGAGAAACCGGAGUCGAGACCCGAGUUAUCGGAACGUUCGGGUAAAUUUCCACUCACCUCACCCAACACUAAAAAUUCAAUAACAAAAAAAAAAAAAAAUUAAAAACUACAAUGUUUCGUUUAGGUAUUUAGCACCCGAGUACGCGCAAAGCGGCCAGGUCACAGAAAAAGCCGACGUUUACUCGUUUGGAGUUGUGCUUGUGGAGCUAUUUACGGGACGAAAAGCGGUGGAUCUCAAUAGGCCUAAGGGGCAGCAGUGUCUUACAGAAUGGGUAUAAAUCAAUCUCGAAAUGCUAAGAAUUAUUAUGUUUAAUUAAUUACCAGAGCUAGGGGCAGUAUAGUAAAAUCGUUUUUCGUGAUUUUUUUUUUUUUUUUUGGAUAUAGGCUCGGCCAUUGUUGGAAGCUUAUGCGAUUGAUGAACUGGUUGAUCCACGAUUGAGAAGUAACUACUCGGAGAACGAAGCUUAUUGCAUGGUGCAUGCCGCUUCUUUGUGCUUACGUAGGGAUCCUCAGACGAGACCUCGUAUGUCUCAGGUAAGAAAAUUAUUUAAUUAAUUAAUUAAUUAAAAUGUUGCAUUAUUAAUGUAAGAUUGAUUAUAAUAAGUUUAUAUCUGCAAUUUUGUGUUGCUAUAAUUAAUAUCAAUAGGUUCUUAGAAUACUAGAAGGCGACGUGGUGGAUUCCGGUCAAAUGUCGACGCCUGAGGGUGAUGUGGGAAGCCGGAGUGGAAGAAUCCGGUCAGAUCAUCAGCUACAAAAAGGCGGCUCCACCAUCGGAAGUGAGUCGUUCCGGCGGUUUAGGUCGAAGCUUUCGCUGUACUCGAGAUAAAUUUCAGGGAUGUAGAUUUUGCUCUGCUUUUUGUGGGCCUUAUAAAACUCGGUCCAGAAAUUCGAAGCUGGACAGAAAAUAUUUUAAACCCGGCCUAAGUUACUUUACGUUGUACAAAAUUAGUGGUUGAUUAAGUUUUUCUAAUUACUUAAUUAUUUAAUGAAAUAUAAUUAUUUGGUUAAAAUUUAGUGAAAAAGGAAAAAAAGUUCAACUAAUAAUUUUAAAAUUCAUUAAUUUAUUCUAAUGAUGUUUAAAUCAUUUUAAUUUGAACCAUAUUUUAAAUUAUUAUUAUUAUGGAUUAAAAAAAUUUACUUAAUUAAAAAGAAUUUGAUGAAAAGAGGAGAUUUACAAUUAUGAUGUGAUGUACUACUACCAAAAUUUAAUUAUCAUUCAAUUAUAAUCAACUUUCAAAGCAUUUGCCAAACUCACCUAAUUUUCAAAGUUGUAAUUAAAUCGAUUUUAGGGGUAAAAUCGUAAUUUAGAAUCAUAUUUUCAACUUUUCAAUUUCCCACACUUUUUUCCCGCAGAAGAAUCUUCAGAAAGAAAGCUGCAUUUCCAAAAAAAAAAAACAAUACUAAAUAAUAAAAUGCAUCUGAAAAGAGAUUUUAAUAAAAAUAUUAUUAAUUAAAUUUAAAUAUACUUUAUUUUAUUCAAAGGAAAAACAGAGAAAAAAAAAUUAGUAUGAAGAUCGAGAGGAAGAAGAUGGACCAGCAGCCUCCUCGUCAAUGGACAAAUCGUCGGUCUUCCUCAUUGCGCCGUGGAUCAGAACCGCCGCUACUCCGGUGAGCAUCGCCCCGACGAUGUUGCUGACGGCGUUAGUGAGCAUCAGGACGGCGAUGGUCGCCGCCGCCAGCGCGGCCAGGACCACACUAUCGGAAACCGUCCGGCCGAAGAGCGCCAGCGGCUUGUCGCGGAGGAAGUAGAGGAACAGCCACGCCGCCAUCAUCGCGGCGAGGACGACGAGCGAGAUCGGGUGCCACAGGAGGCUGAGGAACAGGAUCGCGAGGACGCCGACGGCGUAGUUCAUGCGGAAGUAGGCGGCGUUCGUCCCCACGCGCGCCGCCGCGUCGGCGAGGGACGUCGGGAUGCCGAAGCGGUGGGAAUCGAACAUCUCCCGCCAUGGGCGGCAGGUGCCGAGGCCGGCCGUGAUGGUCUCCCUGGCGCGUGAGAUGUACUCGAGAUUCACGGCGGGGGUGCCGGCGGCGGGGAAUGAUGACGUGGGGAUAGUGCCGUAAGUAGUCAUUUUUUUUUUGUCAGGCCACCGGAAUUCGAAACGGCGGCUGAUUGUUUUGUGAUUGGUGGCGGUGCGAAAUUGGGAAUGGGAAAUCUGCAACUGUUGUAGGGUUCUGGAAUUUGGGUGUUUAUUUAAUAUAUAUUAUUAUAUUAUUAUUAUUAUUAUUAUAUUAUAUAUGCGCAGGAGAAGAAGUUGAGGGACGGUGUUAAUGGAGAACGUGAAGUCUAGUAUGUGGAUUAAACGAAUGUGUAUAUAUAAAUACUAUGCUUAAAAAAUAUGAUAAAAAAUCUAGGCUUAAAAAAUAAUAAUAGCACUUUUAAUUAUGCAUGAUUUAUUGCGUUUCGAAGGUGCGAAGUGAUGUUAAUUUGUUUUGAUAGUUCAAAGUACCAAAAUGGUAUAUUUCAAGAAUGCAAAGUGGGAUUACACAGAUAAAAAACUACUAAAAAUAAUCCUACAUAGUUAACAAGCUCAUUUAAUAUAUUAAGCCGUGUUUGACUGUCAAUAAUUCAGUGUUACUAACUAAAUCCAAGAACUAACUAACACAUUCUGAAGCCCGCAUUCAAAUGGUAUCAUCUAAUUAAAUUAGAAGUUACACUAUCCUCCAACUAAUUUAUAUAAUUCCUCCGUUCCAUAAUAUCUGUCACUUUUAAGAAUUUUUUUUGUUCCAUAUUAUUUGUUACUUUAGAAUUCCAACAGUGCAUUAAUUACAUAUUUUUCAAUUAUGUCUUUAUUAACUCUUCAACACUCUCUCUGCAUUAAUCAAUAAAUAAGGGUAUUUUGAUAUAACAAUAUAUAUUUUCCUAAAAUCAAUACAUAUUUAUUGAGUUUCUUAAGAUUUGUGCAAAUGUGAAAAACGACUAUUAUUUAGGAAUGGAGGGAAUAUACAUUUACUAAAAGAGACGAUUAUAUCCCUAUAAUGAAAUGGUAUAAAGAAAUAUCACAUCUUCAUGGGUUAGCAAUUUCGCAAAAAUAUUCACCGGAAUCAAAAAGAAUUCGUGAAAAAUAGUAAGGAAGUCAGCGUAAGACGGAAACCGUCAAAUUUUUUUGAUAAUUACAGAUGGGUGGGGAUGGUUUCAUAAUUUAGCCUAACUUCAGGAAGUUUUCGUAAUUUAGCCUCGCACAUAACUAUUGUUAUUUUUUUAUAAAAAGAAAAUAAAUAUUGUUAAAUUAGAGAACUUUAAGAAACAACAUAAUGCAACAACUGGAGAAACCUUUCUAUCACGUGGGCACGCUAAAGACUGUCAAAUGCACAACUACCUAAUAAUUAGAUUUAGAUACCUUUCUUAAUUCCAAGUGAAAAAUGAAAAUAUCAUAAAUGUUUACAGCAAGUUAAUACAUAAACUCAUAAACAUUCACAAUAUAGCAUAUGAAUAUUAAACCACCUAAAUAUUAAUUAUUUCUAAAAUAAAAUUUUAACACAUAAACAAAUAACUUAGAAUUGGAUCAUCACUAAGUAGUAUAACAGAAAUAUUUAAAAAUUAUCACAAAGUUAUUAUCUUCUAUUUAUAUAUAAAAAGAAUAUCAUCUACACACAAUAUUUCGAAAAGAUAAAUCAUAGAACAAACAGCAUUAUGCGGAACUGCCGGAGAACAACACGGCUUCAAAGAGACAUCACUCAAUAAUAUAAUUAAGAAAGAACAUAUAUAACUUGCAAUAGACAAAUUCAUAAACGAGAACGUGAAAUGAACACGAAAAUCAUAAUCAAAUUACCAAUUAGAUGUUGCUCUAAAUAGUAAACACUUAGGGUUCCUCGUUUCAUAUAUCAUUACGUUAAGUUCGAACUCUUGUAAAUGACAUGCCUCAUUGUUUUCAGGUGUCAAUUAUAAGUGAAUAUGACCCUAUAUAUAUCUAGAAUAUGUGAAUAUGUUAUGUUAAGUAGAAUAUGUUAUGAGUUAUGACGCAUGUCGAUUUUUAAAUCAGUGAUGUGUGUAGUUAAUUUCAAAUCGAAGAAAAGAAAGAAAGAAAAAACCCACCGGCGAAACUGAUCACUUACCUUUCUGGAAGAUUUUCGUAUAAGCAGGAACUCCCAAUCUGCAAAGAAUUAAAAAUUGCUUUAUUAGAACAACAAAAAGAAAAACGAUAAGAUUUUAAACCAAAAUUAAAUAAACCCCGAGUUGUAGAAACAUUCAAUAUGACCCGAAAAGCACUAGCAAUUUCACCAAAUUAAUAACAUAGCAUGAAAAACUUGACGAUCCUAAAUACUACUCGUCGUCUUCUCCUGUAUAACUGUCGAUUUACUGAAAAAAAUUCACCCAACCGGACCAUGUAUGUAAUCCUAGAAACCCCAUCACACAUCCACUUAAACCCCAACGAAUCUAUUAAUUCGUGUACAAAUCAUUCGAAAACUAUUGAAUUAAUCACAGUCCAGCUUCUCCCCUGACUAUGCCAAAAUUGAAGGUAUCUAUCGACCGAGUAUUUCAAAUACAUAUUCUACAUGCUAACCCUAAGAAAAAGUCUAUACUAUCGCUCUCUCAUUACUAAACCCAUAAAACCUCAAGCGAUAUAUCCUCGAAAACCUCAACAGGAGAUGCUGACAUGAAACCAGUGUUAGUUGAUCGUAAAACCUAUCAUCUUCAUAUUCAAACAGAUACUACUCUGGUUUGAUUGCAUCAGCGUAAUAAAUUAAACUACAAUAUUUACUACCAAACAAGAUACACGAGGCAAGAAAGUAUUAUCUAAAGAAAAGAUUUUCUUCCUUUACACAUUUCCUUCUCUCAACUCUCACUAUAUCUCGUACCUAGCUGAGACAUUCUUCUUACUUAACAUAAAACGAAAUUCUGAAGCACUAUCUCCAUUGAUCGCCUCAUCUCCAUUCAUCUCGUUUAUGUUACUUGACGAUCUUAGUCUUCAAAAU